This 925-nucleotide long non-coding RNA is filed under the name Chrysolophus pictus (golden pheasant). RNAcentral describes it as "lncRNA (ENSCPIG00010009090.1)". The record is from RNAcentral. Lineage: Eukaryota; Metazoa; Chordata; Aves; Galliformes; Phasianidae.
UGUUGACUGGAUCUGUAAGCAGGUAUCAGCUGUGAAGCAAAAAGUCACCUGCCUGUCUGGGUGCUCUAAUCAGGAAGCAGACAGGCUGGCCCUGGUGCAAAGCCUGGUGGGUGUUUUCCAAGGGAGUAGAGUCAAACUUUGCCUACACCAGUGCUUUCCAGCUUGAAAAUUAACCAUCUGGCCUGAAGAAAUUGGGAAAUCCGUGUGAAGCCGUGGACCAGGGUAGCCAGGGCUCCCCCAGCCCAGCUUUCCAUUGGAAAUGUGAGACUGUCCCUGGGGAAAAUGGGACCAAGCUGGGACUGCUGAACAGAUUGCUGCAGCAGAGCACUGCUGACCCAGUAUUUAUUUUUAAUUAAAUCCAGCCAAAUUUAAGGCCUAUGGUACAGAAUGUACGUCUUGCCCAGGAGGACAACCUUCAAGCUACUACGCGCAAGGAAGGAGGUUAUCAGGGGUGUUUUCCCUCGCUGCCAGAGGUUUGGCCACAGGGGUGAUGCUGUUCCUAAGCCCCAGAGGUUCCGUGUAACAUCUCCACCAGCAUUUUGGAGGAUUUGGACUGGAGGAGCUCCAGCAGGACUGAAGAACAGCAGCAGUUUUCAGGUGCUGGGCUUAAGCCGCUCACCCUAUUUUUACAGGGGAGGAAGAUGUUGGGCUCUGAACCAUACCAAAGACCAGCCGCCAUCUUAUGGCCAUCCAAUGAUGAUGUCACCAAGCUCUGGCCCAUAGGGCCGAAUGGUGGCUAUGGGGCAUCUUAUGCCUGACCCAGCCCCAGGGCACUCACUGACCUGCUUGGAGAAGGUGGAGAUGUUUGGAGAAGUUUGGAAGCGGGGAGGAGGUUGGACCGGCUGACCAGGAAGCCUCUGAGAUGCCCUCAGGUGUGAUGGGAGGGCUGAAGGCUAUGGGGAAUUUUACCCUCUUGCUGCAGGGC